This is a long non-coding RNA of Humulus lupulus (European hop), 115 nucleotides long. RefSeq lists it as uncharacterized. The record is from RefSeq and is a predicted model, not a curated record. Lineage: Eukaryota; Viridiplantae; Streptophyta; Magnoliopsida; Rosales; Cannabaceae. The transcript has 3 exons.
CUCUUUGGAAAGGCGGUCCCUAAGACUGCAGAAAAUUUCCGAGCUUUGUGCACAGGUUAAUAUUUUGAUUGGUCUUAAAGCAUUGGAUUGGUAGCUAAUUGCAAGAGGUAUAUUG